RNAcentral lists this transfer RNA (85 nucleotides) under Candidatus Uhrbacteria bacterium CG10_big_fil_rev_8_21_14_0_10_50_16. RNAcentral's name for it is "tRNA-Leu". It matches the Rfam family "tRNA". From Rfam's summary of the family: Transfer RNA (tRNA) molecules are approximately 80 nucleotides in length. RNAcentral also lists the same sequence under 1 other name. The record is from RNAcentral. Lineage: Bacteria; Candidatus Uhriibacteriota.
GGGCGAGUGGUGGAAUUGGUAGACACGCUAGCCUUAGGAGCUAGUGCCGCAAGGUGUGAGGGUUCGAGUCCCUCCUCGCCCACCA